UACCAGACUCCUACGGGAGGCAGCAGUGGGGAAUAUUGCACAAUGGGGGAAACCCUGAUGCAGCAACGCCGCGUGAGUGAAGAAGUAUUUCGGUAUGUAAAGCUCUAUAAGCAGGGAAGAAAAUGACGGUACCUGAGUAAGAAGCCCCGGCUAACUACGUGCCAGCAGCCGCGGUAAUACGUAGGGGGCAAGCGUUAUCCGGAUUUACUGGGUGUAAAGGGAGCGUAGACGGCGAUGCAAGUCUGAAGUGAAAGCCCGGGGCUCAACCCCGGGACUGCUUUGGAAACUAUAUGGCUGGAGUGCUGGAGAGGCAAGCGGAAUUCCUAGUGUAGCGGUGAAAUGCGUAGAUAUUAGGAGGAACACCGGCGGCGAAGGCGGCCUGCUGGACCGUGACUGACGUUGAGGCUCGAGAGCGUGGGGAGCAAACAGGAUUAGAUACCCCUGUA
RNAcentral lists this ribosomal RNA (446 nucleotides) under uncultured bacterium. Its description in RNAcentral is "bacterial SSU rRNA". It matches the Rfam family "Bacterial small subunit ribosomal RNA", at positions 329 to 792 of the family's 1533-position model. The record is from RNAcentral.